UAGGGAAUAUUGGGCAAUGGGCGAGAGCCUGACCCAGCCAUGCCGCGUGCAGGAAGAAGGCUUUCUGAGUCGUAAACUGCUUUUGAUAGGGAAGAAUAAGGCCUACGUGUAGGCUGAUGACGGUACCUACAGAAUAAGCACCGGCUAACUCCGUGCCAGCAGCCGCGGUAAUACGGAGGGUGCGAGCGUUGUCCGGAUUUAUUGGGUUUAAAGGGUGCGUAGGCGGCCGUUUAAGUCCGGGGUGAAAGCCCGUUGCUCAACAACGGAACUGCCCUGGAUACUGGAUGGCUUGAGUACAGACGAGGUUGGCGGAAUGGACCGAGUAGCGGUGAAAUGCAUAGAUACGGUCCAGAACCCCGAUUGCGAAGGCAGCUGACUAGGCUGUUACUGACGCUGAGGCACGACAGCGUGGGGAGCGAACAG
Molecule: ribosomal RNA, 423 nt
Filed under: uncultured bacterium
Lineage: Bacteria
Description: bacterial SSU rRNA
Rfam family: Bacterial small subunit ribosomal RNA
Source: RNAcentral